Molecule: ribosomal RNA, 119 nt
Filed under: Triticum aestivum (bread wheat)
Lineage: Eukaryota; Viridiplantae; Streptophyta; Magnoliopsida; Poales; Poaceae
Source: RNAcentral
GGAUGUGAUCAUACCAGCACUAAAGCACCGGAUCCCAUCAGAACUCCGAAGUUAAGCGUGCUUGGGCGAGAGUUGUACUAGGAUGGGUGACCUCCUAGGAAGUCCUCGUGUUGCAUUCC